UGGGUUGUGGCUCAGUGGUAGAGCACUCACCUACCAUGCCUGAGGCACUGGGUUCAAUUCUCAGCACCACAU
RNAcentral lists this transfer RNA (72 nucleotides) under Ictidomys tridecemlineatus (thirteen-lined ground squirrel). RNAcentral describes it as "Spermophilus tridecemlineatus (thirteen-lined ground squirrel) tRNA". It matches the Rfam family "tRNA". Rfam says of the family: Transfer RNA (tRNA) molecules are approximately 80 nucleotides in length. Their secondary structure includes four short double-helical elements and three loops (D, anti-codon, and T loops). Lineage: Eukaryota; Metazoa; Chordata; Mammalia; Rodentia; Sciuridae. The record is from Rfam by way of RNAcentral.